AUCAAGUGACUGUGCUUCUCGUCCUUUACUAUCAGGGUGAGAGUAUUCUGCAUCUGGCGAAGAGUGAGCAUGAUCUCAAGGUGAAAAACACUUUGGUCUUCAAUGCGUUUGUCCUGGCCCAGUUAUUUAAUGAGUUCAAUGCACAAAAGCCCGGUGAGUUUAACAUCUUCGGAGCAAUCACCAAAAGUCGCCUCUUUAUGGGCAUCAUCGCAAUAACUCUCGUACUUCAGAUCCUUAUUAUAUUCUUCCUGGGAAAAUUCACCGACACCAUACGUCUAACUUGGCAAUUAUGGCUGAUUUCUGUUGGUAUUGGUGUUAUCAUUGGCCUUUAGCAGUCGUUGGGAAGGUCAUAACAGUCCUCGAAACUCCCCUAAGCCAAUACUUCACAAGACUAUUCCGCAAAUGUUUAUGUUGCAAAUCCUGAAUGAAUUAGAGCACUUGUUGAUACCUCAGCUGAUACUUUGCGAAAUGGUUGAACUUCUACUUUGAGAAAGCCAGGUCAGAUUGAUUGUUUCUCUAUAGCUACUCGAAUGCAUUUAAUUUUAUACUUCACAUUUAGUAGUUGGAUGAAUCAUCAAUAUUCGCUCAUGCCCUUUGUUUUUUCCUUCCUGUUACGAGGCUGAUACAAGCAACAGAUGGUGCUGCUCUACAUUUUAGCCGGUGAAAUGUUGACUUCCACAAGGCUGGUAGUAUGCUCAUUUGGAGGAGUCGCUUCUGCUAAUGCCAGUUCCAUAAAACAAAAUCUGGAAAAGCAAAAUCUACAUUUGGAGACCUUCGAAAUAUUUUUUCCAGUCACCAGGGAGAUGGCUCUUUUUAUGCUGAUACAUGAUACUGUGAACGAGAUGGGAUGUAAACAUGUUUCAACAAUUGAGUUAUAUAUGAGAACUGCUGCUGAUUGUAAUAAUCAAAAUGCUGAUCAGAUUGAUUCUGCACGAACUGAGGGAGAAGAAGUUGUUAUACCAACGACAUUUUGAAAGCAUGUUGGAACAAGAGAAACAGUUGAUCGCUGGAAUCAGAGCAGUUGGGGUUCAUCAGCUGAUACUCUGCGAAAGUUUAGAAGUGAUCAUUCAG
Molecule: long non-coding RNA, 1071 nt
Organism: Papaver somniferum (opium poppy)
Lineage: Eukaryota; Viridiplantae; Streptophyta; Magnoliopsida; Ranunculales; Papaveraceae
Exons: 8
Source: RefSeq, a predicted model, not a curated record